GCGGGAGUAGUUCAGCUGGUAGAACAUCGGCUUCCCAAGCCGAGGGUCGCGGGUUCGAAUCCCGUCUCUCGCUCCA
Molecule: transfer RNA, 76 nt
Filed under: Thermodesulfovibrio yellowstonii
Lineage: Bacteria; Pseudomonadati; Nitrospirota; Thermodesulfovibrionia; Thermodesulfovibrionales; Thermodesulfovibrionaceae
Also listed under: 6 other names
Description: tRNA-Gly
Rfam family: tRNA
About the family: Transfer RNA (tRNA) molecules are approximately 80 nucleotides in length. Their secondary structure includes four short double-helical elements and three loops (D, anti-codon, and T loops). Further hydrogen bonds mediate the characteristic L-shaped molecular structure. tRNAs have two regions of fundamental functional importance: the anti-codon, which is responsible for specific mRNA codon recognition, and the 3' end, to which the tRNAs corresponding amino acid is attached (by aminoacyl-tRNA synthetases). tRNAs cope with the degeneracy of the genetic code in two manners: having more than one tRNA (with a specific anti-codon) for a particular amino acid; and 'wobble' base-pairing, i.e. permitting non-standard base-pairing at the 3rd anti-codon position.
Source: RNAcentral